Molecule: ribosomal RNA, 129 nt
Filed under: uncultured Acidobacteriota bacterium
Lineage: Bacteria; Pseudomonadati; Acidobacteriota
Description: uncultured Acidobacteria bacterium partial 16S ribosomal RNA
Rfam family: Bacterial small subunit ribosomal RNA
Source: RNAcentral
GCUUGAGGAGGGGCCCGCGUCCGAUUAGCUAGUUGGUAGGGUAAUGGCCUACCAAGGCGACGAUCGGUAGCCGGCCUGAGAGGGCGGACGGCCACACUGGGACUGAGACACGGCCCAGACUCCUACGGG